RNAcentral lists this ribosomal RNA (479 nucleotides) under uncultured bacterium. RNAcentral describes it as "partial 16S ribosomal RNA". It matches the Rfam family "Bacterial small subunit ribosomal RNA", at positions 28 to 507 of the family's 1533-position model. The record is from RNAcentral.
GAUGAACGCUAGCGGGAGGCCUAACACAUGCAAGCCGAGCGGUAGAGUUUCUUCGGAAACUUGAGAGCGGCGCACGGGUGCGUAACACGUGUGCAACCUACCUUUAUCUGGGGGAUAGCCUUUCGAAAGGAAGAUUAAUACCCCAUAAUAUAAUGAUUGGCAUCAAUUAUUAUUGAAAACUCCGGUGGAUAGAGAUGGGCACGCGCAAGAUUAGAUAGUUGGUGAGGUAACGGCUCACCAAGUCAAUGAUCUUUAGGGGUCCUGAGAGGGAGAUCCCCCAGACUGGUACUGAGACACGGACCAGACUCCUACGGGAGGCAGCAGUGAGGAAUAUUGGACAAUGGGUGAGAGCCUGAUCCAGCCAUCCCGCGUGAAGGAGGACGGUCCUAUGGAUUGUAAACUUCUUUUGUACAGGGAUAAACCUACCCUCGUGAGGGUAGCUGAAGGUACUGUACGAAUAAGCACCGGCUAACUCCGUG